AUGUGCAGAAGAGGUAUGGAGGAAGAUCCCACAUGCACUGUGUGUGGACGGGAACCAGAAGAUGUUUUCCAUGCCCUAUUCCGAUGCCCACAUGCGCGUGAGCUCUGGGCAGCAAUGCGUCAAGAAUGGACCCUCCCAGCUGAAGGCGUUUUUGAGCCAACUGGGCCUGAAUGGAUAUUGCAAGCUCUACAUGCAAUGACGGAGCAGCAACGGGCUAUGGUUCUCAUGAUUCUUUGGCGUGUAUGGCAUUGCCACAAUGAAAUCACCCACCAAAAAAUCCCACCAACGGCUCAAGGCUCAAAAAACUUCCUGGCAAGUUGCCUCAACUCUCUCUUGCUUAUUCAGCAGCAUCCUAUUGUUGUUGUUCAAAAGGGAAAGCAAGUGGUGGAUUACGUCCAGAGCUGCACCACUACACGCCAUUCGUCUGAUGGCCGUCAAAAAGUGCGUCAGAAAUGGGAACCUCCAUCAGCGGACCGGGUCAAACUCAAUGUGGAUGGAUCGUUCAUUCCAGAUGGGUCAGCAGGAACGGGCAUGGCGCUUCGUGACAGUGUUGGAUCCUCGAUCUUCGUUGCAUGCAGGUACCUCUUUGGAUGCGCCGACGCUGUGGACGCAGAACUUGCUGCGAUGGAGGAGGGCCUGGCCCUUGCGCUCCAAUGGUCGCCACUUCCAUUGUCCGUGGAGACGGACUGUGCUGAAGCUGUUGCCCUGGUGCAAUCCUCCACCCCCAACAUGUCGCGCUAUGCGUCGCGUGUCCAGAAUAUUCGUGAACUUCUUCAGAAAAGAGAUGUCUCGAUCGUAAAAAUCAGUCGCGAGGCCAACUCUGUGAGCCAUGCAUGGCUUAGCACAGCUAGGUAG
RNAcentral lists this ribosomal RNA (855 nucleotides) under Triticum aestivum (bread wheat). RNAcentral's name for it is "partial small subunit ribosomal RNA". The record is from RNAcentral. Lineage: Eukaryota; Viridiplantae; Streptophyta; Magnoliopsida; Poales; Poaceae.